AUGGCUCCCAAGAUGAUCGGCGUGACCAUCUUGCUGGUGCUCCUGGCGCUGGCCCCGAGUGACGGCCAGGUGAUGCCAAUCCCCUGCUGCCGCCUCAACUGUUGUGAUGGCAGACCCGAGUGCUGCUCCCCUGGCCUCGUCGCCGCCGUGGCGCCCAUCGUACAGGCCGCCCCAAACGUAGCAGGGCCGGCCGCCGCCGGUGCCGCGUCUCGCAAUGUCUUCCCCUGA
Molecule: ribosomal RNA, 228 nt
Filed under: Triticum aestivum (bread wheat)
Lineage: Eukaryota; Viridiplantae; Streptophyta; Magnoliopsida; Poales; Poaceae
Description: partial small subunit ribosomal RNA
Source: RNAcentral